Molecule: ribosomal RNA, 470 nt
Filed under: Nesticella arcuata
Lineage: Eukaryota; Metazoa; Arthropoda; Arachnida; Araneae; Nesticidae
Description: partial 16S ribosomal RNA
Rfam family: Bacterial large subunit ribosomal RNA
Source: RNAcentral
CAAAAACAUUUUUUAAUGCACUUAUAUUAAAUAAAACCUGCUCCAUGUGUAGAUAAAAAGCCGCAGAAAAUUUACUGUGCUAAGGUAGCAUAAUCACUUGUCUUUUAAUUAAAGACUAGAAUGAAAGGUCCCACAAUUAAUAGCUAUUUUUAAUUUUGUUUUUUAAACUUUUUUUAAAAAUAAAAAUAUUUUUAUAAAUAUAAAAGACGACAAGACCCUAUUGAACUUAACUGAAGUUUGGCUGGGGAAGCCAAUUAAUAAUUAUCUUAACACACAUAUUUAUAUAAAUAUCCUUUAAAAGAACCUUGAUCAAGUUACCAAAGGGAUAACAGCGUUAUACUCUUUAAAAGCUCUUAUUAAUAAACCAGUAUACGACCUCGAUGUUGAAUUAAUUUUACUUACCCAUGCAAGAAUAGAUAAAGUAAGUCUGUUCGACUUUUAAAAAAUUACAUGAUCUGAGUUCAAACCGG